Non-coding RNA from Phodopus roborovskii (desert hamster), 582 nucleotides. NCBI's taxonomy places the organism in Eukaryota, Metazoa, Chordata, Mammalia, Rodentia, Cricetidae. The record is from the annotation of a RefSeq genome assembly.
AUGAAGACAAUCAUUCUUAUUUUAUUCAUUUUUAUCUGGCUGCAGCUGGAAUGGGAGAGCCGAAGCGAGGAAGUAAAACAGCAUCUUUCCACCCUGAGUGUCCAGGAGGGAGCUGACACUGUCAUCAACUGUACUUACUCAGACAGUGCCUCAGUCUACUUCCCUUGGUACAAACAAGUGCCUGGGAAGCAUCCUCAGUUCAUCAUUGACAUCCGUUCAAAUGUGGAAAGGAAGCAGAGCCAAAGAGUCACACUUCUAUUGGAUAAGAAAGACAAACAGCUAUCCCUGUACAUCACAGACACUCGGCCUGCAGAUGCAGCCACCUACUUCUGUGCAGCAGAUGCACACUGCUCCCCAGACACCUGCAGCCUGUCUUCAAACCUGCCACCAGGAGUGGAGCCCAACAUGAAAGCCCCUCAAGUGCGAUAUAAUGGAGUUGUAUCCUAUGAGAAGAAAUUAAUAUUUUUAGCUCACCUCCCUAUAGACAACUGUCAGCUAUUUGUCAAGAAGAUAAAAUUAUGCAGUCUGAAUGUCAUCAGAUCUAAUAGAAAUUUCAGCACAAGUCUGCUUCAGUCAAUCUAG